UACCCAGUUAGGUCUCAACUACAAGCAACAGUAAUAGAGCAAUUAGUUCAGUGGAUAUGGAUUUACUGAAUAUCAGAAUUCUGUUUACCUGUUUUCAGUGGUUUCACAAACGUCAGGUGAGAUUGAGCCAAUCCAGCAAUGGGUUUAUUAAUUCUAUUGACUGUUUUUGAUGCUUUCUGAAGGGAAGAACCAGCUUUCCUGUUCUGCCCCAUUCUCUCUCGGGUUGUAUGUUUGAAGGCUGAUGGUCUCACGGUAGCAUGCGUUUUAUUGUCCACGCUAGAUGUAAGAGCUCUUUUUCUUUCCACUUCUUCCACAUGCACUGGGCCCAAAACUCUAUUUUUUUCCAUAUAUACUUCAUUUUUCC
RNAcentral lists this long non-coding RNA (364 nucleotides) under Gallus gallus (chicken). The record is from RNAcentral. Lineage: Eukaryota; Metazoa; Chordata; Aves; Galliformes; Phasianidae.